GUAGGGAAUCUUGCGCAAUGGGCGAAAGCCUGACGCAGCCAUGCCGCGUGAAUGAUGAAGGUCUUAGGAUUGUAAAAUUCUUUCACCGGGGACGAUAAUGACGGUACCCGGAGAAGAAGCCCCGGCUAACUUCGUGCCAGCAGCCGCGGUAAUACGAAGGGGGCUAGCGUUGCUCGGAAUUACUGGGCGUAAAGGGAGCGUAGGCGGAUAGUUUAGUCAGAGGUGAAAGCCCAGGGCUCAACCUUGGAAUUGCCUUUGAUACUGGCUAUCUUGAGUAUGGAAGAGGUAUGUGGAACUCCGAGUGUAGAGGUGAAAUUCGUAGAUAUUCGGAAGAACACCAGUGGCGAAGGCGACUCACUGGCCCAAUACUGACGCUGAGGCGCGAAAGCGUGGGGAGCAAACAGGAUUAGAUACCCGAGUAGUCC
RNAcentral lists this ribosomal RNA (425 nucleotides) under uncultured bacterium. Its description in RNAcentral is "partial 16S ribosomal RNA". It matches the Rfam family "Bacterial small subunit ribosomal RNA", at positions 354 to 796 of the family's 1533-position model. The record is from RNAcentral.